RNAcentral lists this long non-coding RNA (1514 nucleotides) under Crocodylus porosus (Australian saltwater crocodile). Its description in RNAcentral is "lncRNA (ENSCPRG00005006480.1)". The record is from RNAcentral. Lineage: Eukaryota; Metazoa; Chordata; Crocodylia; Crocodylidae.
CUACAGCUUUUCCCAGGGCUGUCAGCACUGCCUGCCUUGCCCUGGCUGGGGUGCGGCUGGGGUGCAGCCGAGGGAGCAGUUAGACAAACUGUGGCUUCUCCCGGGGCUGCUGGCUUAAGCCAGGGCUUAUCCAGGUACUCCUGCUGGCACCUCCUCCCCAGCUGCUCUUGGGAAGCUGCGGCAUGACUAGAGCCUCUCAGAUCCUCUUUUGAGACCAAACUUCAUCAUAUGCCCGAAAGCAGCAGCAGCAUCGAGCCUCCAAGCAGCCCUGGUGAAGCUUGUUUAGGUCUUCAUAUUGAGGAUGGGUCCCUGUUCCUGAAGUGAAGCCACCACAAGAUUCAAACCCAUUCAGACCUGCUGAGCAUUCAUAGCUGGUUCACCAUCACUCCAGCUCCAGUCUGCAAUGUCAGGGAUCCAUGCCUGCUGCAACAGUGAGUAUUUUGGCUCCUCUGAGACCAUUAUGGUGAGAAGCCUCUCAGCAUCUGGCUUCUGCCAAUUGCCCCUGCUAGGGCAAAUGACCUCACUGUGUUGCUCACGUUCCCUCGGGGACCAUUUUUCCAGUCCUCCCUGGGUGUUGCUCCAGGUUGCUUUUGAACUAGUGAACACAGGCCAGGUGCCAAAUCGCUGCCAACACACAUUUACAAAGCAUGCCCAGACCAGCACUGGAAGUCCACCCCGGUGUGCUGCCAUGCUCAGCAUCAGCCGUUCCACUCGUCAGUCCCGUGCCGCAGAAAGCACAUGCAACCAAGCAACUAACAGGCGGUCCUCGGAUGUACGACAGAAUUGGUUCCUAAAAAACGCAUCUUAAAUCGAAACGUUGCAACUCAGAACCAAUUUUCCCAUAGGAAACAAUGUUAUAAAUGGGGGAUUAGUUCCUGAACCAAGACCUGAUACCCUACUUUCACCAAAAAUAACCCAGAGUUUUAUACUCAAUCAAUUAUAGAUGAGUAAAGUAGCUACAUCAAUGUAUUUAUAUUGUAAAUAGCAAUCGUAUUGAUUUGGAAGGACUUCUUUGAGGCGACUUUGCUGGACUUUUUGAAGGGCUCUCGGUUGGAUUUUUUGAAGAGUUCUUGGCUGGAGUCUUCUCAGGAGUCUUGUCUGCUUUCUUAAAGAAAGUGUCCCAGGAAGUUUGGACAGACAUUCUCCAGGGAGACAGGCAAUGCAAUGAACUUGUUAGCUGAUGUGGCGUGGCAUGGCAUCGGAUCAAGCAUUGUAAAGUUGAAACUGAUGUCAUAAAGUUGAAACAGGGUGUCAAUUUAGAAGAUGUAAGUGCAAAACACUGUAAGUCAAGGACUACCUGUACUUGCAAAGCUGGGGUUCUAUUGGUCACAUGUCUCCAAAGAGCUGCACUGUAAUCAGGGUGGUCCUGGGUGUGGGCUCUGAGGAAGCCCUGAGAAGUUCAGUACUGGCUGCAGGGCCAUUGACAGCUGUACUGUGGGGGUCCCACAUGCCAAGGAUGGUGAGAUACAGAUGGAAACAUGCCCAAGAGGUCUGGACUAGAGGCAGUGUCUGCA